This 202-nucleotide long non-coding RNA is filed under the name Elaeis guineensis (African oil palm). Its description in RNAcentral is "long non-coding RNA (EGUI_LNC018414)". The record is from RNAcentral. Lineage: Eukaryota; Viridiplantae; Streptophyta; Magnoliopsida; Arecales; Arecaceae.
AUAGUAUCGUCGAAACUCCUUUCAAUGGGUUGGAACAAUUCUAACUCACCCCAAUAAGGAUCAUUGAUCCGAAAAUAAUCCUAGUGAGUUCUCACCAUCCACUAGUGACGUCUAGCAGUAUAUAGUGACAACUCAGCAGAACAGAAGAAUAAACCUCUAGGUGUAGUUAUCGUGUAAUACAGUUCCUUUAUCUUGUGUCCCG